Molecule: long non-coding RNA, 1038 nt
Filed under: Cucumis sativus (cucumber)
Lineage: Eukaryota; Viridiplantae; Streptophyta; Magnoliopsida; Cucurbitales; Cucurbitaceae
Description: long non-coding RNA (CSAT_LNC001311)
Source: RNAcentral
UGCAUAUAUAUUUCAUUGAACAUAUAUAUAUAUUUGGUCAUUACAUACAACAUAGAAACAUAUUGUUUUUAUUCAUAUUACAAAAUGAGUUAUGAACAUCGUUCUUAAUAAUAAAACACAAAGUAUAUGUAAUAAUAAGGAACAUAGACAUCACCCUCCUUCAAGCACCACAACACUUUUAGAUAACUCCAAACUUAUCAAAGUCUCACCAAUUGUAAUUAUCCUCAACUUCUUGAAAUCUACAAACAAAAUAAGACUAGCAUUAAAACUAAGAACUUCAACUUCUAAUUCUAAGAACUUUGAUAAUAGAAUUAUAUCCAUGAAAUAGAAACAAAAUGUAAAAUCUCUAUGUACUUGCAUUUUAAUCGGAUUAAAGGUAUGGUUACUCCCUACUAAGCCCAUAUCCAUAUUUUGUAAAACAUUAGUAAAAGAAUGAAACAAAACAUUUGUAAGAUGAAAAAAUAUGCAAGAAACUCAACUUUUCUAAAGAUACAAUUGCAGAAAUUCAAUGCACUCGAUCUACAACAAUUGACCAUGUGCAAGUACUGCAUAUAACCUCCCCCCUCUAAUGAAUAAAAAUAACCUCAAAGACACCACUUUGUAAGUUCAAUAACAUAAGUGAGUGAAAAUUCAAACUUAUAACAAUACCUUAACUAGUUGUGUUGUACUUUGGUUGCCCAUUGACACCACUCUUUAAAAAUCCUAGAAGUAAAAAUUCACCAUAGACAUAGUUGUAGUUUUAUUAAACAAGUAUCACGUGGUUAUACCAACAGUAACAAAAACUAAGACAAAUAAUGGACUAUAAUCAAAAGGAAACGGUAUUAGAAAAGCUAGCAUGGGUAAAAAAAAAAUAGUUACCAACCUUUUGAGGCCACAAUUGUAGAUAAAUCUAAAGCAACAUGAAGUUGGAUCAACCAAUUCAUUUCAACACACAUAUGGCUAGCCUCUAAUGAUUAACACCACUCCAAUACAGUUCAGUAACGUUCCAAUCACUUGAAGAGUCUCAAGGAUCCAAAAUUCACAAAUUGUAACACAAAU